CCUACGGGUGGCAGCAGUGAGGAAUAUUGGUCAAUGGACGAGAGUCUGAAGCAGCCAAGUAGCGUGAAGGAUGAAUGCCCUAUGGGUUGUAAACAUCUUUUGUAAAGGAGAAAAAGGAGAGGCGUGUGACGUUUUGCAUGUACGUGAGGAAGAAGGAUAGGCUAACUCCGUGCCAGCAGCCGCGGUACUACGGAGGAGACGAGCGUUAGUAGGAUUUAGUGGGGUUAAAGGGAGCGUAGUCGGGUGGUUAAGUCAGUUGUGAAAGUUUGCUGCUUAACCCGAAAAUUGCAACUGAUACUGGCAGUCUUGAGUCUUGUUGAGGUAGGUGGAAUUCGUUGUGUAGCGGUGAAAUGCUUAGAUAUCUCGAAGAACCCCGAUUGCGAAGGCAGCCUACUAGACUGUGACUGACACUCAUGCUCGAAAGUGUGGGUAUCAAACAGGAUUAGAUACCCUUGUAGUC
This 460-nucleotide ribosomal RNA is filed under the name uncultured bacterium. RNAcentral describes it as "partial 16S ribosomal RNA". It matches the Rfam family "Bacterial small subunit ribosomal RNA", at positions 338 to 795 of the family's 1533-position model. The record is from RNAcentral.